RNAcentral lists this unclassified non-coding RNA (584 nucleotides) under Hevea brasiliensis (rubber tree). The record is from RNAcentral. Lineage: Eukaryota; Viridiplantae; Streptophyta; Magnoliopsida; Malpighiales; Euphorbiaceae.
GACUUUGGCAAAAUAAAAGUCGUAUCAUUAUGAGGCCCUGAUAAAACAAAACUCUGUGAAUCCGCUAAAGAGUAUUUGACCUCCUGAAGAAACUGUGUUCUGUUAGUAAUUUUGAUGGAGUAUGUAAAUGGAUUUCCAAGAAUAGCAUGAGGGGGACAAUCUAGACUCACGAUCAGUGGAGGUUGCUCCACAUUUACAUCGGGCAGACUAUGUUUCGUUAGAACUGCAGAUGUUGUGCUACAGGAAGUCAAUCUUUCUCCAUCUCCGUGAUCCCUUCUCCAUCUCAAACACACAAUACCCAUGUUUAGCUUAGGAAGAUUAACCUCGGGAGUGACAGCAAAAACCUGUUUAAACUCUUCUCCUGCCACAAGCAACACAUGUUCUUCUGGGUUCUUACUCUUAGUUUUCACAUCACAGGUGCUAGCAUCAACUGCCUCCACGGACAUGGACAACAAGCGCAAAGGCACCUCAGUGCAGUUCUUAGCACUAACAACUAGCAUACUUGUUUCAUUCAAAGGCAGAGAUGGUAUUUGGUCAGAAUUGGAAGCUGGUUUAGUCUUUGACAGCAGCAGUGGUUCCCUCCG